GAUGGAGCAACGCCGCGUGUGUGAUGAAGGUUUUCGGAUCGUAAAGCACUUUCGACCGGGACGAAAAACCUCUGGCUAACAUCCAGGGGCCUGACGGUACCGGGAGAAGAAGCACCGGCUAACUCUGUGCCAGCAGCCGCGGUAAUACAGAGGGUGCAAGCGUUGUUCGGAAUUAUUGGGCGUAAAGCGCGUGUAGGCGGCUUGGCAAGUCAGAUGUGAAAGCCCUCGGCUUAACCGAGGAAGUGCGUCUGAAACUGCUGAGCUUGAGUGUCGGAGAGGAUGGCGGAAUUCCGCAAGUAGAGGUGAAAUUCGUAGAUAUGCGGAGGAACACCGGUGGCGAAGGCGGCCAUCUGGACGACUACUGACGCUGAGACGCGAAAGCGUGGGGAGCAAACAGGAUUAGAUACCCUGGUAGUCCACGCUGUAAACGAUGAGAACUAGGUGUCGUGGGUGUUGACCCCCGCGGUGCCGCAGCUAACGCAUUAAGUUCUCCGCCUGGGAAGUACGGCCGCAAGGCUAAAACUCAAAGGAAUUGACG
RNAcentral lists this ribosomal RNA (538 nucleotides) under uncultured delta proteobacterium. RNAcentral's name for it is "SSU rRNA". It matches the Rfam family "Bacterial small subunit ribosomal RNA", at positions 385 to 915 of the family's 1533-position model. Lineage: Bacteria; Deltaproteobacteria. The record is from RNAcentral.